CAGUCGCCGCGGUAAAACGUAGGUCCCGAGCGUUGUCCGGAUUUAUUGGGCGUAAAGCGAGCGCAGGCGGUUAGAUAAGUCUGAAGUUAAAGGCUGUGGCUUAACCAUAGUACGCUUUGGAAACUGUUUAACUUGAGUGCAAGAGGGGAGAGUGGAAUUCCAUGUGUAGCGGUGAAAUGCGUAGAUAUAUGGAGGAACACCGGUGGCGAAAGCGGCUCUCUGGCUUGUAACUGACACUGAGGCUCGAAAGCGUGGGGAGCAAACAGGAUUAGAUACCCCCGUAGUCCCUGUCUCUUAUACC
RNAcentral lists this ribosomal RNA (301 nucleotides) under uncultured bacterium. Its description in RNAcentral is "partial 16S ribosomal RNA". It matches the Rfam family "Bacterial small subunit ribosomal RNA", at positions 509 to 808 of the family's 1533-position model. The record is from RNAcentral.